Molecule: ribosomal RNA, 334 nt
Filed under: uncultured bacterium
Lineage: Bacteria
Description: bacterial SSU rRNA
Rfam family: Bacterial small subunit ribosomal RNA
Source: RNAcentral
GAUUGAACGCUGGCGGAAUGCUUUACACAUGCAAGUCGAACGGUAAAAGGAUUUAUCCACCUUAGGAAGAGCUCGCGUCUGAUUAGCUUGUUGGUAAGGUAAUGGCUUACCAAGGCGACGAUCAGUAGCUGGUUUGAGAGGACGACCAGCCACACUGGGACUGAGACACGGCCCAGACUCCUACGGGAGGCAGCAGUGGGGAAUUUUCCGCAAUGGGCGAAAGCCUGACGGAGCAAUACCGCGUGAGGGAUGACGGCCUAUGGGUUGUAAACCUCUUUUUCAGGGAGGAACAAAAUGACGUGUACCUGAAGAAUAAGCAUCGGCUAACUCCGUG